CGUGAUUCUUCUUUUGAUUCUCCCCGAGGCCUUUCACGGGCCUAUAUGAGAAAUGUUUGUGGUAUGCACUUUCUGUUGGUGUUGGAUUUGGAUGGCUGGAUAGAGCGCUUACCUGAUGAAUUGGGAGACUUGAUUCACCUGAGGUACUUAGGCUUGUUUUACUCACAACUAGAUGAGCUUCCAGGGACUUUAGGGAAUCUUAAAAGACUGCAAACUUUGGAUAUAAGGGGGUGUGGAAAACUACGCAAACUACCAAUACAAAUUCUGCAUAUCCAGCAGUUGAGACACCUUCUAAUGUCCCACUGCUUUAAUGAUGGUGAAAUUAGAGUUCCGAAGGGCAUUGGAACAUUGGUAAAUCUUCACACUUUGUCUGGUAUUUAUGGUGGAGAUGAUAUUGCCAUGGAAUUGAUUGCCUUAACCCAGCUACGAGAGCUCGGCGUUAAGCGUGUGAGUGCCGAUCAUGCCAGUGAGCUGUUUGCAGCUAUAAAGAAGAUGGAGAACCUCACAUCCCUAUCGCUAGAAGCAGAGGGAAACUACUUUGAAGGUACUAUUUUUCCUGAAUCGGAUGCGUUUUCUCCUCCGCCACUUCUUCAAGAGUUUUCCUUACGUGGGGGUUUAAUUGAGAUGCCCGUUUGGUUUGCCUCCAUGGAAAACCUCACCCACCUAUCAUUAGGGUAUUCUAAUCUAUCCGAGAAUCCAACUUCAGUCCUUCAGUUGAUUCCCAAAUUGAAGCAUCUUAAACUCUGGGAAGCCUACAAGGCAAGGCACAUUGGUAAAGAAUUUUGCAAUGCAGGUGGUUUCCCUGUGCUGGAAACUCUCACAAUUGCUUCUGCGUUCCUGGCGGAAUGGACUGAAAUUGAAACUGGAGCUUUUCCACGUUUAAGAUAUCUUUGUUUUUAUUGCUGUCCAAGCUUGAUGUUUCUUCCUGAAGGGUUGCAGAACAUUUCCACACUUCAAGAUCUGUGUUUCUUCCCCUGGAAUCCAGACCUUAAAAGGCGAUUGAAGGGUGAAGAGAAUUACAAGAUCAAGCAUGUCCGAGUAUUUGGGAAGGUUUGAGAACCGUUGAUUUUCCAACCAAGAAAUGGAAAAACAUCAACCACAAUAGUUUCCAGAGGAAGUUUUUCGAGGAUGAAAUGCUUUUGCUUUACUCCUCAAAUAUCAUCUCCUGCUUUCUGUUCAUUUACUUCAAUAUUCUGGUGAUGUGUGCUAUCCUCUACUGUCUUGUAUACCUAAAUUUGUGCAAUCUCCAGCGGAGAAACCAGUGUCCUAGACUCCAAAAAAUCUAUCUUGAUGAUGAACGAUGUGUUUAUCUAUUUGCAUUUCCUUAAUAUCUGGAUUAUUAUCUAAUUAUUCUAUAGAAUUGCCCUUCUUCUAGAUUUCUCUCUAAGGAUUGAAUCAUUAGAAAAUCAAGGUUUUUUAUUCCUGUUUUUUUCGCUUGAAGUGGACUUGCUAGGUAAGAAACACGUCUAUUAUAUUGGCAGCAGUUCAUAUAAAUUAUACAUCCCAUUCCGUGUUUACAUAGAAUCAAAGGCGUAACAAAUAUUGUUUAUGCCUUUUAUUUUAUUCAAUUAAUUAAUUUUAUAUAUGUUUAUUUUUUUAUUAUUUAUUUAAAUAAAAUAUUAAUUUUUGUGAACAGAUUGUCUUGAAGAUCCAAGUUGCAAGAUCAAAUAUCUUGGUCUAUAUGCGACUUUUAACUUUUUAAUUUUUAUUUUUAUUUAUCAGUAAUGAUUAUUUAUUUAUUUAUUAACAUAUGUAUUUUUUAAUUUAUUUUAUUAGAUGUAUAAAUAAGUUUUUUUUAAUUUUGAUUAAAAACAAAACAUUGAAAAAAUCUACAUAUUUAUUUUUUUAUAAAAACCUCAAAGUUAAAUAGCUAUUAAAAACUAGCCGCCAUUGUAGGGUUUGAUAGAAAAGAUAUUGGGCUGGUAUAUCAUAUUAUUACUGUUAUUAACUAUUACCACUAUAUACUAAAAAAUAACAACAGUGCAUUAUUGUGCUCAAUUUGGACAGGACUUUUCAAGAACAAUGUUGUUUUUUUUUUUUUCAUUUUGAUCAUCAAAUAUUAUUAUGAUUAUCAGUAUUAUUGUUAUAUUCUUGCAAGUUAAAUUUAAAUUUACUAUUUUUUUAUAAGUUUAAUUUAUGCAUAUAUGAUCCCCAUAGUCUAAGAAUUAUAAGUUUCAAUCCUAGAUUUAUUUAUUUAUUUAUUUUAGUCUUCGAGUAUUGAAAGAUGUUAGAAAAAAAAAAAAAAAAGUCAGUUGAUCACGUUCUUGUUAUCAAAAAAACCAAUCUUGUUAUCAAUGAAUUUGUCUUACAAAUAUAAGUUCUAUGAAGAAGGUUUAGAACUUUUAUCCUGUUAAAAACACAUAUCAAGACUUAGAAAGUUUUUUUAUUUAUUUAUUUGGUUUGAUUUUAGAUUUUAGACAGAUUAAAUGGUGUUUUGGAGUUAACAUGAGUUUAAUUAGGUUCUUAAAAUGUUUCUUUUUUAAUGUUUUGAGAUAAAAAAUAAAUUGAAAAAUAAUAUUUGAAGCUGCAAAACUCAUACUUUAAAUUCAAAUCAUCAAAAUGGUAAAAAUUCAAACUAGAAUGUGGCACCCAUUGUUUCUUAUUAAAAAAGGAAUAUUAGAAAAAAUAAAGCAUGGAAUAAAAGUUUUUUUUUAUGGUAAAAUGAACCAUUACUUUGAAUUAUGAUAUAAGAAGGUAAUAUGCAAUUGUUUUUUUUUAAAAAAAUGUUCAUAAAUAUUAAAUGAGAAUGAAACUAUUUUGUUAUGUUUUAUUGCAUAAUGUUUACAGAAUUUUGAUGAUUAAUUAUUCUUUAUGUUUUUCUUCUGUUGUGUACAAAUUAUUGAUUCAUGAUUUUUUAUAUUUGUAAUGAAAAUUGCUUUUCAAAUCAUGAUAAAUCUUUAUUUAAAAAACAAUACUUUUAUUAAAAAACAUGGUUUUUGAAAACCAAGAAGAAAUACAUGAAUAAUAAAAGUGAUUUUUAAUUGAAAACGAUAUAUAUUUUUCUUUUUUAAUUCAAAUCAUUAAUAUUUUUAUAAAUAAAUAUUUUAAUUAUUUGUAGUUUUUAUUCAAAAACAUGCUACUAAUUAAAAAAAAAAACAUGUUCUUGUCAUACAAAAAUACAUGAAUAAGAAAUGAAAAACUCACUUAACAUAAUUUUUACACGACUAUUUGUUUUUCUCUCCACGGAAUCGGUUGGAAGUGGACUUGACAGUUAAGAAACACGUCUAUUAGAUUGGCAACAGUUCAUAUAAAUUAUACAUCCCAUUCCGUGUUUACAUAGAAUCAAAGGCGUAGCAAAUAUUGUUUUGGCCUUUUAUUUUAUUUAAUUAAUUAAUUUUAUAUAUGUUUAUUUUUGUAUUAUUUAUUUAAAUAAAAAAUUAAUCUUUGUGCAUAGAGUUAUUAAACACGAUUGUCUUGAAGAUCCAAGUUACAAGAUUAAAUAUUUUAUCUAUAUGUGAAUUUUAACUUUUUAAUUUUUAUUUUUAUUUAUCGUUAAUGAUCAUUUAUUUAUUAACAUAUGCAUUUCUCAAUUUAUUUUAUUAUAUGUAUAAAUAAGUUUUUUUUUUAAUUUUGAUUUAAAAAAAACAUUGAAAAAAUCUACAUAUUUAUUUUUUUAUAAAAAAAUUCCAACUCUAAAUCAAAUAGCUAUUAAAAACUAACCAAUGUAGGUUUGAUAUAGAGGAUAUUGGGCUGGUAUAUCAUAUUAUUACUGUUACACCAUUAAAUAGUUUUACCGACGGUUUAAGUUCGUCGGUGUGAGGCACAAAAACCAUCGGUAAUAUUUUUACCGACGGGCUCAUCGACAAAACACGUUAGUUGAAAUUUUAAUUGUUGGUAAUUUUUCUUUUCAUCACUAAUUCUAUUAAUAAUUAAAAAAAACCAAAUAUCGACGAGACAACAGUAUAUUAUUGUAAAAACUAGCCACUAUAGCUUAGAUUGAGAGGAUAGUGGGCUGAUAUAUCAUAUUGUUACUCUUAUUAACUAUUACCACUGUAUACUUAAAAAAAAUAAAAAUGUACAUUGUUGUGCUAAAUUUGGAUAGGAAUUUUAAAGAAUGGUGUUGUUUUCUUUCAUUUUUAUCAUCAAAUAUCAUUAUGAUUAUAAUUAUAAUUAUUAUUAUUGUUAUAUUCUUGCAAGUUAAAUUUGAAUUCGCUUCUUUUUAUUUAUAAGUGUAAUUUAUGCAUAUAUGAUCCCUAUAACUUUAGAAUUAUAAGUUUCAAUCAUAGACUUAUUUAUUUAUUUAUUUAUUUCAAUCUCGGAGUGUUGAGAGAUGUUAAGAAAAUAGAAAAGAAAGAAAGAAAUUCAGUCAGUCACAUUAUGGUUAUGAAAAAAGCCAAUCUUGUUAUCAAUGAAUUUGUCUUCCAAAUAUGAGUUCUAUGAAGAUGGUUUAGAAUUUUAAUCUUGUUAAAAACAGCGAUCGAGAUUUAGAAAGUUUUUUUUAUUUGGUUUGAUUUUAGAUAUUUAGACGGAUUAAAUGGUGUUUUGGAGUUAAAAUGAAUUUAAUUAAGUUCUUAAAAUGUUUUUUUUUUUAAUGUUUUGAGAUAGAAAUAAAUUGAAAAAUAGUAUUUGAAGUUGCAAAACUCAUACUUUAAAUUCAAAUCAUCAAAAUGGUAAAAAUUCAAACUAGAAUGUGGCACCCAUUGUUUCUUAUUAAAAAAGGAAUAUUAGAAAAAAUAAAGCAUGGAAUAAAAGCUUUUUUAUGGUAAAAUGAACCAUUACUUUGAAUUAUGAUAUAAGAAGGUAAUAUACAAUUGUUUUUUUUUAAAUGUUCAUAAAUAUUAAAUGAGAAUGAAACUAUUUUGUUAUUUUUUAUUGUAUAAUUUUUACAGAAUUUUGAUGAUUAAUUAUUCUUUUAUGUUUUUCUUCUGUUGUGUACAAAUUAUUGAUUCAUGAUUUUUAUAUAUUUUUUAAUGAAAAUUGCUUUUAUUAUUCAUGUAUUUCUUCUUGGUUUUCAAAAAACAUGUUACUAUAUAUUUUGUUAUUUUUUAUUGUAUAAUUUUUACAGAAUUUUGAUGCUUAAUUAUUCUUUUAUGUUUUUCUUCUGUUGUGUACAAAUUAUUGAUUCAUGAUUUUUAUAUUUUUUUUGAAUGAAAAUUGCUUUUCAAAUCAUGAUAAAUAUUUAUUUUAAAAACAAUACUUCUAUUAAAAAAACAUGUUUUUUGAAAACCAAGAAGAAAUACAUGAAUAAUAAAAGCAAUUUUUAAUUGAAAACGCUAUAUAUUUUUAUUUUUUAAUUCAAAUCAUUAAUAUUUUUAUGAAUAAAUAUUUUAAUUAUUUGUAGUUUUUAUUCAAAAACAUGCUACUAAUUAAAAAAAAACUUGUUCUUGUCAAACAAAAAUACAUGAAUAAGAAAUGAAGAACUCACAUAACAUAAUAUUUUUUUCUCUCCGCAAUUUAAAUCAUUGUAUAUUUUUUUUAAUAAAUAUUAAUUUUAAUUACCACAAAACUAAAUGAAAACAGAUUUUGAAAACCGCCACACAAGGGAAAAAAUUAGUAAAUAUAUUAAAAGAGCUAGACUUUUUAUUGUAACUCUGAUAUUGUUCAAAUAGAAAUAAAACAUCGUGGAUUACUCCGUGGAAAAACACUGCAAUCUCUAUUGUUGACCUACAAAUAAAAAAAUAUUGAUUUUAUGCUCUAGUCCCUAAAGCUUUUAAUUUUUAGUCAUUUUAAUUUAAAGUCUCUUAGUUUUUGUCUUCAAACUUCAUUUUUAUAAUAUUUCAGUUUUUAUAUUCCGAGAAAAGAGAGAGAAAUUUUUCACUCAUCCAUAUUUAUCCGACAAAAAAAUCAAUCUUAAUAUCAAUAAAUUCAUUUUAGAUUGGGAAGGUCAAUAAAAAUGCUUUUGCUCUUUAACCAUACCAAAAAAUAGAUUGAAGCAUUUUAUUAUAGCUUUGGUAUUGUUCAAGCAUUGAUAAAACCUAUGAAAUCUCUAUUGUCCAGUAAGAAAUAAAACACUGUUCAUUUUACACUUUGAUCAUUGGAGUUUUCAAUUUUUUUUCAUAUUUAAUCCAUGUAGUUUUUAUUUUGUUCAUUUUAGUCUUGGAACUUUAUUUUCACCACAUUUUUGUUCCUAGAUUCUAAGAGAGGAGAAGGAAAAUAGUUAAAAAACAAAGAAGAUAAAUAUUUUAGCUAGCCAUAAAAGAGACUAAUGUUGGUGUUAAUGAGUUAAUUUUAGAAAGAUAAAAUUAAUGGAUGUGGUAUUUCUCCUUUAACCAUGAUGGAAAAAGUAAAUUGAGGCCUGAAAUUUUUUUUUUCCUUCUUGAUUUAUGAUUUUUUAAGUGAUUAAAUAAUAUUUUGGGAUUGUAAAUGAAGUUACCAAGGUUCAUAAUAUUUAUUUUUAAUUGUUUUUAGAUGAAAAGAAGUUGAAGUUUUGAUUUUAAGGGUCCAAAUAUCUCAGAAUCUUCUAGUACUCGAAAAUUGUACCGGUAGAUAACACGUAGUCUAACCAAGCAGAUAAUGUGUUGUCUAUUUAAUUAUUUUUUUAUAUAAAAAAAUAGGUUAGACUACAUGUAUUCUGCCCUUCCUUCCAGACUUAGGUGUGAUGGCUCUUCACCUUUUGUUUUUUUCUUACAUUUUUUAUUUUUUUAAUAAAAUUAUCUUUAAAUAAAAUUAUUAAAAUUAUUUUUGAUUGAUGAGUUUAAGUAUUGAAAUUGAAAGGACAAAGAGAGAGCCAAACUUAGAAAAUAGAUGUUGGUGCAGUCUAAACUGGAACACUGUUCGGUAAUUGGGUCAUAUCUCGAGUUCCAGGUGUCCAAAUGACCUUAACUUUUUGAAAAUAUUUGGUAAGACAUAGGUCUAUAACUUUCAUGUGGAGUCCAAGAUUUAAAAAAGUCGUUUUUAAGUCCAAAUUAUAGCAACAACGGAGAAGUCCGAAUCUGUCCUGUAGCUCAGACAUUGUUCAGUGUUGAACCCAUAUCUCGAGUUCUAGAAGUCCAAAUGACCUCAAUUUUUUUUCCUGGAAAGAUAAGACAAUUUCCUAUAACUUUUGUACGUACAGGUGGUUCUAGUUCUGAUGCUAACAAUGACGUUUUAUUUAGACAAGAAGAUAAGAGUUUUCACCAAGUCAAGAGUUGGCCACCCACUUAACAAUUAGUCAUCAAAUCAAUAGUUUCAAAUUUUGGCCUAUAAAAAAAGGCAUUUGCCAUGUAUUUAGGGGCUUGGUUGUUCAUAUCAAGAACUUGUUCUUGCUCUCUUUUUUUAUAUUUGUUUUUAUAAUUAUUAAGUUUUACUUUCAUUAGUAUUUGUUUAUGCUUUUCAUUUUCUUUCCUUUACUUAGUUAAUUUGUAUCUUAUUUAUGUUCUUGUUUUGUUUAUUUAUGUUUCUCUUCUUCAUUAUGUUUAGUUAAGUUUAUUAUGUCAAGGUGAAAAAGUUACACUAAUGGUGUAAGAAUAAGUAUAGUGUAAACUCAACAUGGACCUUAAUGUUUAAUAUUAACAUGUCUUAUCUUUUUAUCUCACUAAUUCUUAAUACCUGCUUGUUAAAUGGUUAAUCUAGAUUUGUGUUGUACAAUACUUGGUACAACAAAUGUUUGACACUCUCAUAGCCUAACCGUAUGGUAUUAUGGUAUUACCUAUACCUAUGUUGUGCAAGGAACUUGAUUUGUUGUUAACAUAAGUUAGCAUCAUGAAUUCCUGAAAAUAUUUAAAAGUUUGGUAUUACUUAAAUAAGAUAAUUAAUAUAAUCAUGUUAAUAAUUUAUAAUAAGCUAUUAAUGAUAAAUCAUCCGAUUGGAACCUCUUUUGUGUGUGGUUUCUAGUUGAAUAAUAAGAGUUUAUAGUAUACUUGUUUGAAAUACCAUUAGUGGAUCCUCUAACGUUGACAUUUGUUUUUAUCAUUGUUUAAUCUUUAUAUUAAUCUUUCAUCUCAAAGUUCUCAUCAACUUUUUCUUCAUCUUCUUUAUUAUUAUUAUUGUUGUUGUUGUUGUUGUUGUUAUUGUUAUUGUUGUUGUUGUUGUUGUUGUUGUCGUUGAUGUUGUUAUAUUAUUGUUGUCUAUAAUUUAUACAAUUAACCUCCCUGUGGUUUGACCCCGUCUUGCCUGGUUAUUUAUUACUUCGACACUCUUACACUUAGAAGAAAACAUCAAUCUUUUGGUCGUGUCAAAUUGCACUAUAAGAUAGCGAUGUGUUUUUUUUUAUAUUGUUCCUUAAGAACAAAAAAGUUUAUUUUGGUACCUAUAUUUUUGAAGUUUUACAUAUUUUUUUGGUAAUGCAUUUUUACAUACUUUAGGUGCGCUCGAGCUUGAUUUUUUUUGUCCGUCACCUUUUUUCUUCUCUUUUCAAUCAAUAUUUUUGUCUUAAAAGAAAACAAAAUAAAAUUCUAUUCUAAAUAAAAUUAUUGAUAUGAUAUUAAAAACAUUAUCAUGCUGUGCUAUAAUUUUUAAAUAAAAUUAUAGUUUUUAUGGUAAUAUUAAUAAUUGUUUUAUAAAUGAUAAACAUCAACAACAACUGCAAAUUAAAUUAAUUUUGUCUUAAUGAUAAUUUUUUAAACUCAUAAAAUCGUAGCUAAUGGAGUGAUUGUUGGAGAGGUUUAUAUUUUUUAUUACAAAACUAAUAAAUCUAAAAAGGAUGAAUUAUUUUGUGUAAGAAUUUUUAGGCCUAGAAAAAUGGGAUUUGUGCUUGUGAUAAUUAUCUAGUAUUGGAGAUGAAAAGAAAGAACCAAAAUUUUAAAGGAAUAAAUAUAAUGAUAUUUUGAUUUGCAGUGUGGUAAUAAAUAGGAGCAACAUGGGAUCAUUCCUUUCAAAGCCAAAAAGAGGAAUUUAUUGAAGGGGAAAUAAGAAAUAUUUUGUUAUUCUUAAGAGGGGAUUCUUUCUUUUAAUUGUUGGUGUUCCUGUGAUUUCUUAUAUUUAGAUGUGAUUUAUUAAUAAUAAUAAAUAAAAAUAAUAAGAAAUAGAAAGAAAUUCAUCGUCUGGAUCGUAUAUCAACAUCCAAUUAUUAAAAAAAAAUGAAAAAAGAAAAGGUUCCAUCACAACUCAUAUAGAUACAAAUAGUGGAAGCAAGAAUAUUUGACAUAUUUCAUUUUUAAGCAGAAACUUGAUUUUUCUUCCUGAAGGGUUGCAGAACAUUUCCACACUUCAAGAUCUGCGUUUCCGCCCCUGGAAUCCAGACCUUAAAAGGCGAUUGAUGGGUGAAGAGAAUUACAAGAUCAAGCACGUCCCAAAUAUUUGGAUGGUUUGAGAAUCGUUGAUUUUCCAACCAAGAAAUGGAAAAACAUUAACCACAAUAGUUUCCACAGGAAGUCUUUCAAGGAUGAAAUGCUUUUGCUUUACUCCUCAAAUAUCAUCUCCUGCUUUCUGUUCAUUUACUUCAAUAUUCUGGUGAAGUAUGCUAUCCUCUACUGUCUUGUAUACCUAAAUUUGUGCAAUCUCCAGCGGAGAAACCAGUGUACUAGACUUCAAAAAAUCCAUCUUAAUGAUGAACGAUGUGUUUAUCUAUUUGCAUUUCCUUAAUAUCUGGAUUAUUAUCUAAUUAUUCUAUAGAAUUGCCCUUCUUGUAGAUUUCUUAAGGAUUGAAUCCUUAGAAAAUCAAGGAGACAGAUCUGUCUUUCGGGUUACCAGUGAAAAUUUAUUCUUGUUUUUUUCGUUUGGAAGUGGACUUGCUAGAUAAGAAACACGUCUAUUAUAUUGACAACAGUUCAUAUAAAUUAUACAUCCCAUUCCGUGUUUACAUAGAAUCAAAGGCGUAGCAGAUAUUGUGUCUACAUCGCAUUAAAAUUUGAAUAAACCAUCGGAUGCACGAGUAUGAACUACCCUGUAUCCCUAGUUAGCCUAGAUGCUACUGUGUCCUCUUAAUGUUCUCUAAUACAGGCGUGAUAAGAACAUUUUAUUUGAUGAUAGAGCUUUCUUCUCGUCCCAUGUAUCAAGUCACUACAUUUCCAUUGGUAUUGUCGAUGAUUGCUGAUAACCUCUCCAAGAAAAGGUUAAAGGCUUCUGGUGGACUAAACAUGCUUAUUCUGACAUACUUUGGACUAGCCCCAAACCUCUCCCCACUUCUUGCUAUUAUCUUAUGCUCUCUUAAACGACUCUCCCAGUCUAUAUCCUCCUUGCUGUGCAACCAUGCAAAAGCUGUUUGCAGAAAAGCAAAAUAUGUCAGAAGAGAUUUUCAAAUGAGCCUACAAUAAAGUUGGGGUGUCCUAUUUCAAAAGUAACAAAAAUAAUAUUGAUCUAAUUAUGAGCAUUACCAGGAUUUGAAUACAUGUACUUUCCAGUGAAGUUGCAGUAAUCUCGUGGGUACUUUGGCAGACUGAAGACUCUGCUGUUCUUGACAACAUUUCGCAAUCUCUCCCACCUUUCUUUCAGAAUGCUAUGGCUAUACUCAAAGAAGUUCUCUGAAUCAGCAGUCCUACAACCUUCGCCAAGCACUCCAAGAAUCUUCGCAGCUCGAAUCUGAGAUUCUUUAGAUACACCGAUGGAACUGAUCUGCAUGUAUUCAGUCAUCUUUCUAGCUACCUCUUUAUCCUUAACAAGUGCCCAGCUUCAAUUUGGAAACAAAAUAAUUAGCAGAAAGGAACAAGAAUGAACUACAAAUUAAACACAGGCAAAGAAGAAUGAUAUAUUGUUGCGAUCUUCUUAUUCCAACAAGUCAUGCAUGGCGACAUUAAUCUCUUUAACUAAAGAAUGUCCUGCUCACCCAAUCCGGGAACCAGCAUGUCCAGUGCAUUUGGAAAAUGUGAACAGCAUAAUAUCAUGAUCCAAGGGUUGAGUGAUAGGCGUGUAUUGUGGCCAGUAGUAGGCAAGGUCAUAGACAAGCUUCCCUUCUCCACGGUUCACCACAGCUUCUCGGACAGCACCGUCAGGAUUAUUCGGCGAGGUUACGACCUCAAUAUAAGGUCCAUCCUUAUCGAAGGUGUGCGCAUCUCCCUCCCAUUUAUAGAGUCCUGAACGCAGGAAUUCUGCCUGAUCUUUAUAUCCCUGCAGGCAAUGAAUAUCACAGGCACAUAAAUGAAUUAAUCUUCCACGACGAAUGAAGGGCGCCGGAGAAUUGACCUGUCCUCUUUUUUUUUCUUUUUUCUUUUCACCAUAGACGCACCAUGAGGUAAGAAACCAAUACAUGUCUUGAAUUAGUAUUUUGUCAGUCAAGUAACAUGAACAGGAAAUUAAGAAAACUUGCAAUCACAUUAUGGAUUAAUUAAUCACAUAUGCGUAAAUAAAUGCAUGUGAAUAAGCAUGCAAGCAGUCAAGCAUUUGCAACUCUGUUGAUGCCCAAUUGCAUAUGAUAUAAUUAAAUAAACUCAAGAACCGAGGUUCUGCAGCAAAGUUUGUGGAAAAUGUGGGUAACAUGCAAAGUUGUCUGCUCCAAGGACCGCAACAAGGGAGAUGGAUUUGCUAUUUUCUAAGAUGAAACAUCUUUGUUCCUGCUCGCGUAGCAAACGCCAGGCGCAAGUUCUCCCAAGUUUUGACACAAACGAGACAUGGUCAUGUUACCUAAAUCUUAGUUUCUCUUUACGAAACAUGUUUGUCGCCAUGUCUUUUGUUACAAACAGCACUCAUUUUUAUUUAUUGAUUAAUGAGUUAUUUUAUUUGUAAGAAAUACCAUUAACGUGAUGUUCUUAUUAAAUUAAGCUCUUUCUUUUUCAGAAAUAAUCUUAAUGAUCUCGCACGUACGACUUUUUCACUGAUGGCUGCGCCGGCCAAGCUUAAUUUCCUUAACCAGGCAAAGAUGGCUCUCUAAAUAAAUAAAUACAUGAGAAAUUAAAAAAGUAAACUAAAUUUAAGCAGUUCUGUUUUAUGCAAGACAAAUAAACAAAAAAAAAGAAGAUUAUAUUAGAUACUCUUGUUGGUUUGACUUUGACUUAUCAAAACUGUCUUGGCUGGUUUCAGAUCUCCUAGGUAUACAUCCUUAGAGGAUCUGACUCCUCUAAUGUUAGAGGUGACCCGCCUCAUCAUGUCAAAAAACUAAAAUUAGAACGUUGAUUUUGAAAUUUAUAAUUUGAAUUUUCUCAAAUAAAAAAAUAACUAUUAAUUUUAAAAAUAAAAAAAGAUCUGCCCACCAAGUAAAAUAAAUCUCAAAUACUGUGUUUUAGAUUAAUAUAUAGAUUUUCUUAAUAUAACGGAUCAUGCUAUCCCUAACUUAAAGGGAGAGCUCAUUCCAAUCGUUUGAAGAUCGUCAUUGAGUUCCAUGAGUAGGUUAUUAAGCCAGUAUUGAGUCUGGUUUUACACCAUCAGAUCAAGUGAAAGCAUGUAAAGACUUGCACCAAAUUAUGUAAACUGAAAGAAGUUUGAUGAGGAAGGGAGCGGUGGCUACCGAGUAAAAAGGAGCAGCAGCUACAAGACUGACGGGGUGGCGAUCAGCCGGAGAAGAGAGAGCAUACAGAGCAGCCAUUAAGAGCUGUGUUGAACCUGUCCCAACCACGAUGUGGCGAUCCUCUGUUACUGCGUUUCCAACAACACGAUGCAGUCGCUUUAUGGCAUCACCAAGUUGUGGCUGCAAAAACCAGCAAAUGUUGCUAAUAUCACUGAAAUAGCUCAUCAAAUCACACCCUUCAAUCAUCAACGUACACUUGUCUCCCAUUUUCCUCCAGUAUGGCUCGAACAACGUUGGAUCUCCCCUGCAUUUCCGCAUAACACAUCACUUCCUCGUACGUUAAGAAAAACUCUAUCCCAGAUAACAACACUACGUGAUAAUUAUACCAAACUAAAACUGUUAAACCGUAAAUGACUAUAGCCAGGCCAUUGCACCGGCGCAAUGUAGCCACAACGAGGUGGUGUAUGCUUUUAAUUUCCGAUAGAAAACAAAAGAAUUUAAUAAACGUGAACUUACUGAUCUAGAUUGAUCAUGGAAUCCGGUGAGAGACUUGUCUUUGUGGGCUUAGUUGUCGUCGGAGAAGAGUUUUGGUUAUUGGUUGCUCCAUUCUCUAAACCGCCCAUUUUUCUCUUCUCUUUUCUUCUGUUCUUUUGGUUUCCUCAACUACAGUCAGUGCUCGUGGUUUCUCGUAUACGUGCUUUGAUGGGCUAUGCAAAUACCUGUAUUUAUACUAAAUUAAUGAUGCGUCAGAAACUCUUUUUUUUUUUUUUUCAAUUCUGUAUAUGAGAGUACAUGUUAUAUUAUACGUGGGGGUGUUUUUAUUCUUGCUUUGCUUUGGUUUUUUUAUUUUUAUUAUGUUACCAAGCAUCUAGACUUUUGUAGUUAUAUUAUUCUAUAUUUUCUCAAGAAAAGUUGCAAGAUUAUCUGUCAAAUGCAAUUUUGCUUGUUUCCAUUCCAUAAUUAUUCCUAACCCAUAUUAACAUAUUAUCAUUGAUGGAAAGAUACAAUGAAUUCAAAACAUCAUAUGUGUUGUCUUAAAAAAAUUAGUUUGUAGUUAAAAAUAAUUUUUAAAAAAUAAAAACAAUAUUAUUUUAAUGUAUUUCCAAGUAAAAAGCAUUUUGAUAACAAAAUCAACUAUAUUAUCAAACAAACCCUGAAUUUUGAUGAUAACAUUUGAGAAAUUAUUAGUUUUUUUUAACGUACUAAACUGAUAUAAGGGGUGUAUUUUUAAUUUAUCUAGAAAAAAAAAAUCAAUCUCAAUACCUUUAUUGUUGAAAAAAAAACUAACAUGCAAUGUACAUAUAUCACGCUGCUCACGGGCUCCAAAACCUAUCAAAACAGAAUCUGAUCGCACGCGCGCGCGCACAUACAUGAUAUUUAAAAUACACAUAGCAUAAAUCAUGAGAGAUAUUGUAGAAAAUGAAGUUCCUAAAUGAGAAAUAAAUGAGAAACAUGCAAUAUAUCAACCAAUGAAUUAAGAGUGUAUUUAAAAAUGUGAUGGAAUCUUGCUUCUAAUUAAGGGUUUUAAAUUUUUUAUGUUUUUUAAUUAUUUUGAUGUGCUGAUAAAAAAAAAAAUUUAAAAUUCAUUUUAAAAAAAUUAUUUUAGAAAAGCUCAAUUCCCAAUCAAUUUAAUAUUGAAGGAUAGAAUCAUAAAAAAAAUCAAUUUAGAAAAAUAACUCGAGAUAACUAGUGAUAUUUUUAAAAUCAAUGAAAAAAUAAAUAAAUAAUAAUAAAGCCUACUCAGCCUAGCCUCCAAUUGAAUAAAUGAUAAAGGAUAAAAUUAAAAAAAAAUCAAGUAAACCCAGACGAACCUUCUAUAUUUAGGUUAACCUCUAAACUCACAACCCUUAAAAUCCUGGAUCUGGACUUAAUAUAGAGGCUAAAUCCCUGACCAAUUUAAUAUUAAAGGGUGAAUCCAAAAGAAACUUGGGCAUUUAUUACUUGGAUCAUAUUCGCGAUUUAUUUCCAUACUUGAACAAAUAAGAAUUUGGAAGGUUUAAAUUUUGUAAUUGUCGCUUCUAUAAUAGAACAGUUAAAUAGGAAAAACAAUAACAGUUUAAAAAACUUGUCAAAGUAAAAAAAAAAAAAACAAUAACAGUGAAAAAAGUUAGAAUCAAAUUUUAUAGGAAAAAGAGUCAAGGAAGAUGAAAAUAUGAAAAAGUUAAUUUAAAAAACCAUUUCAAACAAACCAAAUAGAAAUCAAAAAAAUGAAAAUCAAAUUUGAAAGAUUUAAAAAGUAAAAGGGGAUGAAAUUAAAAAAGAAUUCUGAUUUUAUAUAUUAUUCAAAAAAUUAUUACAAAUAUUGAAGGAUGAAAUUAAAAAAAAAAAAAUUUUAAAACUCACCCAAAGAAAAUUCAACAAAGAACAAAAAAAAAAAACCUUGAGAUAAGUUGAGUCAUUUAAAAAAUAAGUGAAAAACUCUAUAGAAAGCUAAUAAAUAAAAAUAACAGAGCUUAAUCUCUAAUUGAAUAAAUAUUAAAUGAUAAAAUUAAAAAAACAUGAGCUUAAAAAAUAAUUAAAAAAAAACAAGCAAACAUGAGCGAAUCACUUAAAGUCAAGCUAAUAUCUAAAACUUGCAACCUAUGCGAUCCUAAACCCGAACACAAUUAAGAAGCCUAAUUCAUAACUAAUUUAAUGUUGAAGGAAGAAAUCGAAAAAAAUACAAAUUUAAAAACUUUGUCAAAGUAAGAAAAAUAACAAUCAAAAGAAUGAAAAUCAAAUUUGAUAGGAAAAUAAACUUAGGGAGAAUGAAAUAAUAGAAAAAAAUAUUAAAAAUAAUCUCAAACAAAAUAAAUAGCAAUCAAUAAAUUGAAGAUCAAAUUUGAAAGAUAAAAAAAGUGGAAGAGGGGGAUGAAACUGAAAAGGAAUUCUAAUUUUGAUUAUUAUUCAAAGUAAAAUAAAUAAUAAUUAAAAAGGACAGUGACCAAAAGUUAAGAGAAAAAAUUAAAGGGAUUGGUUUGAAAUUUUGAACAAUUUGACUCAAAAUUUGAGGUGGAAAGAGAAGGAGGAAAAACAAGAAAUCGUUGUCAGUAUCAAAUACGAGGUGUGUUUAAUGCACAUGCCAUCCCGUCGUUGAGAGGAUACGAAAACCUUUUUAAAGUGUCAUUAAAUAUCGUGUUUGGUGACCAGACAAAUUGAUAAGCACCACUUGAAAGGUACUGGGAUCAUCGACUUGCUUGUGCGUGCCAUACACGUGUUUAAAGGUUUUUUUAAAAAUAAUGUUUAAUAAUAUUCAUAUAUAAAAGUGCUCUGAUUCUCUUUGAUAUUUUAAAAAAAAAGGCCACAAUAAAAGGACCGAAAGGCUCCUAAAAGAGAAUUUAGUGGAAUAUGUCAUUUAACUAUUUAAAAAUAAAAUUAAAAAUUAAAAUUAAAAUAAUCCUAAAUAUAUAUUAAUUUUUUUUUUAUUUGAGGGAUAACUAUAUAAUUUUAUUGUGCAUAAAUAAUAAGAAGAUUAAUAUGAACACAUUACAUUGCCCGUAAUGUCUAAGAUAAAGGUUUUAUUGUUUACGAAAUUUUUUGGUAUUAUGUUAUUAUAAUAAACAGUGUUUAGAUUCUUGAUUUUAAUUUUUUUAAUUUAAUUUAAUUUAAUUUGUUAGACUUUCCCUUUAUUAAUAUUUAAUAUAAGUGUGCGUUUAGAUUAGUAUUAUUAAGACAAUUGAUCUUUUUAUUAUUUUUAUUCAGUUGAUUCUCUCAAUUUUACCUAAAUUAUUUUUUAAAAUAUUUUUUUCUAUUGCUUAUGUUUUUUUCAUUAAAAAAAGGCAUAUAGCACACUCGAACGUCCACCAACACAUGAUUUGCUUUGUGCAAGAAAACAGAAAUCCAUGACUGAUGGUCGGUCGGCUUGAAUAUCAUGUGCCAUCAAUGAUGAUGAUGCAUGUGCUAUUCACUGAUAAAACAUGGGGCUUUUCAAACGUUCUUUGUAUUUAGACUUGUUAUUAUUAACAAAACAAUUAAAAGAUAAAUAAAUUAAAAUAUUGUUUCGGUUUCACGAGUGAGAUGAACAGUUAAACAACUGGCUUUCUUUUUUUCAUUUUCUUUUUUAUCUUUUAUCAUACCUUUUUAUAUAGCCUAUUUAGAAAACAAUUAGGCUUGGAAUUAUAAUAAAAAUAUAAAAUUUAAAGAUAAAAAAUUAACAAGUAAAAUAUAAAUAAAAUAUAUAGCAAACCACACAAUAAAAGUCCUUCUAUUUCAUUUGUAAUUAUAAAUUCAAUUCAAUAUUAAUUUAGAUGUUUAUUUUUCACCCACUUUUGUGUAAAACGUGCUAGCCUGACUUGCCAGACCCAACAUCACUUGAUUUUUUUAAAAAAAAAAUAUUUUUUUAAUUAAUGCCCUUAUAUAUAUAUAUAUAUAUAUUCAAAAUAAUUUUUAAAUUUAUAUGUAAAUAAUGCCUCAUUUUUCUUUUAUUUUGUUUAUCUAGACUCUUUUAAAUAAAUAUUAGUUUUUAGUUAUUUUAUAUGCAUUUAAAUUUUAGAGAGAUUAUUUUAAUUCAUCUAUAUUUUUUAUAUAUUUUAUAUAAAUGAAAUUUAUUUUAAAAAAAUUUAAAUAUUUAUUUUUGGAUAAUAUUUUUAAUAUAUGUAAUCUUGUAUAAUAUUUUUUUUUAUCUUUUAUUUAUUAAUUAAUUUCAUGUGUAUCUAUUUUUAUUAUCACUUAUUUAAAUAAAAAAUUAAUUUUUGUAAACAGAGUUGUGAAUUUUUGUAAAUUAAUUUUUAUUAUCUUGGUCUAUAUGUGACUUUCAAUUUUUUAGUUUUUAUCUUUAUUUAUCAUUAAUGACUUUUUAUUUAUUUAUUUAUUAAUAUAUAUUAAUUUAUUUUAUUAGAUGUACCUAUAAGUUUUUUAAUUUUAAUUAAAAAAAAUUUAAAAACAUAUAUAUUUAUUUUUUAUAUAUAAAAAAAAAUCCUUCCCACAACAAAGUACAAGUGAAAGAGCUAUUAAAAACUAGCCAGUAUAGGUUUGAUAAAGAGGAUAUUGGGCUGGUAUAUCAUAUUAUUACUGUUAUUAAUUUUUACCACUAUAUAAUAAAAAAUAACAACAGUGCAUUAUUGUGCUCAAUUUGGGCGGGACUUGUCGCACGUGUGUGGCGGCACGGCGAUCGUCCACCCUCAAGGAAAAAUCAGAAUAAUUUAUUCCUGGCAAAUAAAAUAGGGAGAGACAAGGAAUUCUUGUCUCUACAAGUGAAAAUAUGGACUGGGAGUCGCCACCUAGUAUUCUGGUUACUAGGAACCUUAACUGGUCUUUAGAGAUCGGGUACGGAGACUAGUUGCGUAAAGGGAAGGUAUUAGCACCACAACUACGUCCUACUUAAGGUAGACUGCAUUGUUUUAAUGUCUGAUAAAAUCUAAAAUCGUGUUGUGGUUUUUUUGAAUUUUUGGUUCGUUUACGGUUUAAGAAAAGUCCUCCUCUGUAAGGAGGUCCUUAUCUUUAUCGGGUAAAAAAAGUACUAUUCGAAGUCGUCAAAAGAAAAUAUUUUUUUAAUAUCAGGAAUACGAUUUACGCAUAAAUUCAUAAUCCCUGAUACUAAAAUCAAACAAAAUAAAAUAUUUGUUGUUUUUUGAAAUUUUGGCCAAUGUUCUCUUGACUUUAAUAAACUGGUUAUUAAAGCCAAAAUGCAUGCUAAAAUAUUGUUUUUUGACAUAUGAAAAAUACGAUAUGAUUUUUUAGAUUUGAGACACUUGGCCGUAUGUACAAAAACAUUUUUUUAUCUUUUUUUCAAUUUUUUUUUAUUUUUGGAAGUUUUUGCCGAAAACCGAGUAUUUUAAUACCGGAUUUAUAUUUUUACGAUGUAAAAAUACUGCCCGAUAUCAAUCAAAAUGACAUACAAACGACGCGGAAAAAUUAUAAAAUGCCGAAACAAAUAUUUUUGAUUUUUUAUGUUGUGUGAACAGUACCGCGGGACGAAAACCGGGUAUUUUAAUACCGAAUUUAUAUUUUUACGAUGUAAAAUACAGACCGAUAUUAAGCAAAAUUGAUAAAAAAAAAAAUGUGCUAAAAAAUUGUAAAAAAACUUCUGAAAAAAAAAAUUGAAAAAAAAAAAUUGAAAUGGGCCGGGUCCGGUAACCAGCCCUCUUCAGCUGCAGAACGUGAAUUAAUUCACGUUCUGCAUGCAAACGAGGGAGGCAGCAAACGGAGAAGGCGACAGGGCGGCGAGAGAUUACCUGCGGUGACGUCGUGGCGGUGCUGCCGGCGGCGUAGGCACGGUGGCGGAGGCCGGCGGUGGUUCUCUCUCUCUCUCUUCUGUUUUUCUUCGUUUUCUUCCCUGCUGCUUCUUCUUCUUCUUCUUCUUCUCUGCCCUCUCUCUUCUCUUCUCUUCUAUCUCGGUUCGUCUCCCUCUCCCCUCUGUUCUUCCUCUCCUUCUUCGGUUCCCUUCCCCUGUUUUUAUAGGCAAAAACAGGGGAAGGCCGAAUGGUGGGGCGGCCACUAUUGGCCGCCCCUCCACUAUCUGUUCAAAAGGUGGCAAGUGGGCUGGUGUGGUAGGUGUCUUAUUGCGCAAAAAUAGGGAAAGAGGUUAGGCGAAAAGGGAGAAGAAAAAUCUUCUUCUUCCCCUGCCUCGCGUGUCCAGGGGAAGAAGAAGAGCUACAGUGCCGUCAAAACGGCACCGUUUUGGGCAUCUGUAUUUUAUUUUUUUUUUUUUUGCAACAGUGAAUGAAACGGCGCCGUUUUGGUCAAAACGCGCCGUUUCAUUUAAAAGGAAAAGGCGCCAAAAGCAUCAGAUUCAAAUUUCGGCCCUCCAUUUGCGCGCGUUUUACAAUUUAGUCCUUGGUCUCGGAUUUCUUCAAUUAAGUCCCUAAUUGGCCAUUAAACUUCAAUAUUUAUGCAAUUAAGCCCCUAAUUUGACCAAAUUAACUUCCAAAAAUUUAAAUUUGACCCCAGAAAAUUAAUUCCUCCUAAUUAAAGCCCAAAUUAACUCCAAAAUCAAUUUUUCUUGCAAUUAAAAUCUUCAUAAAUGCAAUUAAACCUUCAAUAAAAUUUAAUUGAGUCCAUAAACUUCUAAUUUUGCAUUUUUCUUCCUCAAAAUUGAAUUUUCUUUAUCAUCGGGGCUCUCAUCAGUCAAUGAUAUACUGUCAAAAAUUAAUUUUUAUACUUUUGAACAUCCUCAAUCAAUUUUUGAACAUUUUUAGAGCGCUCUGGCAUUUUUUCACUGUUAUAUUUUUUGAUAAUAUAUUUUUUUGAAUUUUUUUAUAUUUUUUUUUAUGUGGGGACCCAAAAAUGGGUUACAACAGGACUUUUCAAGAACAAUGUUGUUUUCUUUCAUUUUGGUCAUCAAUGAUGAUGUUGUUUUUGCGUAUUCUUGGAAGUUAAAUUUGAAUUUGCUUCUCUUUGUACUCAUUGUUUUAGAGACAUAAGAAUUUGAAUUUAUAGUAAAAAAAAAUUAAAAAAACAAGUACCAAAAUAACUAAUAACAAUAUUAUCUAUUGUUCGAAUGAUGCAUAAAAAUAUAAUUUCAUCCUUAAAGUUUAAUUUAUGCAUAUUUGAUCUCUAUAGUCUUAGAAUUAUAUGUUUCAAUCUUGGACUUCUUUUUUUAUUUAUUUAUUUUAGUCUUUAAGUGUAGAGAGAUGCUAGAAAAAAAAGAAAAAAAAGACAUCACUCAGUCAGUUAAAAAAAUCAAUCUUGUUAUCAAUAAAUUUGUCUUACAUAAAUAAGUUCUAUAAAGAUGGUUUAGAAUUUUUAUCCGGUUAAAGUCAAAAACACAAAUUGAGGCUUAGAAUUUUUUUUUCUUUGGUUUGAUUCUAGAUGUUUAAUAGAUUGGAGGGCAUUUUGGGGUUAAAAUGAGUUUAAAGAGGUUCUUAAUAUAUACAUGUGUGUGUGUGUGUUUUAAAGUAAAAAUAAGUUGAAAAAUAGGUUUUGAAGUUGUAGAACUCAUACUUUAAAUUCAAAUAAUCAUGAAAGGUCAAAAUUCAAACUAGAAUGUGGUGCCUAUUGUUUUUUAUUAAAAAAAAAUAUUAGAAAAAAUAAAGCAUGGAAUAAAAGAUUUUUUAUGGUAAAAUUAACCAUUACUUUGUGAAUUAUGAUAUAAGAAGGUAAUAUGCAAAGUUUUUUAAAAAAUGUUCAUAACUAUUAAAUGAGAAUAAAACUAUUUUGUUAUUUUUUAUUAUAUAAUUUUUACAUAAUUUUGAUGAUUAAUUAUUCUUUUAUGUUUUUCUUCUAUUGUGUACAAAUUAUUGAUUCAUGAUUUUUAUAUUUUUUUAAUGAAAAUUUCUUUUCAAAUCAUAAUAAAUCUUUAUUUAGAAAACAAUACUUCUAUUAAAAAACAUGUUUUCUAGAAACAAGAAAGAAAUGCAUGAAUAAUAAAAGCGAUUUUUAAUUGAAAACGAUACAUUUUUCCCUUUUUUAAUUCAAAUAAUUAAUAUUUUUAUGAAUAUUUAUUUUAAUUAUUUUUAGUUUUUAUUCAAAAACAUGCUACUAAUUAAAAAAAAAAACAUGUUCUUGUCAAACAAAAAUACAUGAAUAAAAAUUGAAAAACUCACCUAACAAAAUAUUUUUUUUCUCCACAAUUUAAAUCUUUGUGUUUUUUUUUACAAAUAUCAAUUUUAAAUACCACAAAACUAGAUGAAAAAAGAUUUUGAAAACCGCCGCAUAAGGGAAAAAAUUAGUAAAUAUAUUAAAAGAGCUAGACUUUUUAUUGUAACUCUAUAUUGUUCAAAUAGAAAUAAAACAUUGUGAAUUACUUCGUAGAAAAACAAAGCAAUCUCUAUUGUUCACCUACAAAUAAGACAAUAUUAAUUGUAUACUCUAGCCCCUAAAGCUUUUAAUUUUUUAAUUUUUGGUCCUUUUAGUUUAAAGCCCGUUAGUUUUGGUCUUUAAAUUUCAUUUUUAUAAUAUUUCAUACCCUGUAUUCUAAGAGAGGAGAGAACAACUUCUUACUGAUUCAUAUUUAUUUCACACAAAAAUCAAUCAUAGUAUUAAUAAGUUCGUCAUCUUAGAAAGAAAAUGUAAAAUGAAGGUGCCUUUUCUAUUUAACUACACCUAAAAAUAGAUCAAAACAUUUUAUUAUAGAAACAAAACACUAUUCAUUUUACACUUUUAUCAUUGUAGUUUUUAAAUUUUUUUUUCAUAUUCGAUCCAUGUAAUUUUUGUUUUGUUCAUUUUAGUUUUCAAACUUUAUUUUCAUCACAUUUUUGUUCCUGGAUUCUAAGAGAGGAGAAAGAAAAUUGUUGAAAAACAAAAAAAAAUAUAUUUUUUAGCUAGCCAUAAAAGAGACUAAUCUUGGUGUUAAAAACUUCAUUCCAAUUAUUAGGAAUUUUUAUUGAAUUUCUUUAAGUUUGUACGGAAAAAACCAUGUUGUUGAUAAAAACAAAAAUCAUGGCUAUGUCAAAUUAUUGAAAUUAUUUCAAGUAUUUAUUUUAAUAGUCAUAAAAUCAAAUAUAAGCAGGUUUUAAAAUGACCCUGCGACUUCCUGUGGAUAACAAACUAGUAAACUAAACUAAAAUUGAGAAUAAAAUUGUAUUUUAAUCACAUUGUUUUUGUCUGUUACCUUUUUUCUUCUCUUUUCAAUCAAUUUUUUGUCUUAAAAAAUAGAGAAUAAAAUUGUAUUCUAAAUAAAAUUAUUGAGACGAUAUGCCAUGCUACAAUUUUUAAAUAAAAUUAUAGCUUUUAUGGUAAUAUUAAUAAUUGUUUUAUAAAUGAUAGACAUCAAUAACUAUGAAUUAAAUUAAUUUUUUCUUAAUGAUAAUUUUUCAAACUCAUAAAAUUGUAGCUAAUGGAGUGAUUAUUGGAGAGGUUUCAAAACUUUAUACUUUUUAUUACAAAACUAAUAAAUCUAAAAAAAAUGAAUUAUUUUGUGUAAGAAUUUUUAGGCCUAUAAAAAUAGGAUUUGUGCUUCUGAUAAUUUUUUUGUAUUGGAGAUGAAAAGAAAGAAUAAAAAAUUUUAAAAGGAUAAAUAUAAUGAUAAUUUGAUUUUCAGUGUGGUAAUAAAUAGGAGCAACAUGCAUGGGAUCAUUCCUUUUAAAACCAAAAAGAAGAAUUUAUUGAAGGGGAAAUAAGAAAUAUUUUGUUAUUCCUAAGAGUGGAUUCUUUUUUUUUAAUUGUUGGCGGUCAUAUGAUUUUUUAUAUUUAGACGUGAUUUGUUAAUAGUAAUAAAUAAAGAUAAUAAGAAAUAGAAAGAAAUUGAUCACCUGGAUCGUGUAUAGAAUAAAUAGUUUAAUGGAAGUCAGAAUUUUCAAAAAUAUUUGGAACAUUUCAUUUUUAAAUAGAUGAUUUUUUUUUCAAGUGUUCACAAUUAUAUAUUAAUCAAGCUAAUCCUUUGAAUCUAGAUCAAACUUGUAACCAUGUUUUUUUCAAGUCUGGCACCAAUCAAUUCGACUACAAAGAAUAAUUUUUAUUAAAAUAUGUGCAAUUUAUUAAAAACUUUCUUUAGAUAUAAAAUUUUGAGUAUUCAAUGAACCUAAUAUGCAUAUUUUUUUAAACAAAUUGCUUAUGAAUAUUGUAUGAAAAUAAAAUAUUUUUUUCUUUAUUAAAAAUAUUUUAUAUAAUUUUAUUAAAUUAAUUAUUCUUCUAUUUUUUUCAUAUAGUCAUGUAAAAAUUACCAAAGCAUUUGUUUGUUUGUUUGUUUACUGUGUCUUGUUUUUCAAAUCUAUAGGCAACUAGAUAAGCAAAUUAAAAUCUGCAGCAACCAUCCUUUGACAAAUGUUAUGAAUUUAGGCUAUGGGGUAGGUGGGAGGGUCGGAUUUUUUUAAUAACCAAGCAUUAUAUACUUUAUCUUUCGGCCCCCACCAACGCAGGAAGCACCUCGGCUGGUUCGUUGCCAUCACAGACGUUGACUUCAAAUAUUACUAGAUACAAAGUAAAUAAUCUUACAAUACUGUGAUGCACAGCAGAUGCAAAUCAGGACUUCAUUAGGGUUUGUCUGAGCUUGUAAUAUCCAACCAUGCCUUAUUUCAACUUCACUCAAGAGAUAGGCGAACCUGACUUGGUUACCGGGGAAAUUCCGGGGAUUAAAUCUGAAGCUAGUUUUUUUCUAAGCACAUCAGCAGCAGAAGGAUUACGCUCAUCAAGAGUCGCUGACAUCACAGGUGAGAGUUCUUCUUCAGAAUCUUUCAAAUCAAAUUAUGCAAAGCUUCCUGAUUACCUUAAGUCAUGCCUAGACUACUCUGCCAUUGUUUGUGGGAGAUAUGGUGUAGAGAUAGGAAAACUAGUUCGGCUUUUGUUGGCUGAAGGUCUUAUAGAAGACAGACCAGGGGAUAUCAUGGAGGAUGUAGCAGCAAAUGUUCUCAAGGAAUUGAUUGACCUAGGAAUGCUUCAAGAAGAACGACAAGGGACUGAAGUAAAAGUCCCUGCAUCGUAUCUCCGGUUAUGUAUUCUUAAAUUGGAGAAACAAGAUUUUGUUUCUAAAACUGCAAACUCACCUGUGCGUUUAGGGAUCAGAGAUGAUGGAAGGGAUAUCUAUCCUAAAGUUGAAGGCCUUCUAAUUCAUUCUCUGUUUAUUCUCGGUGCAGACCGCCGUGCUUAUUUUGAUUCUUACCGAGGCCUUUCACGGGCCUAUAUGAGAAAUGUUUGUGGUAUGCACUUUCUGUUGGUGUUGGAUUUGGAUUGCUGGAUAGAGCGCUUACCUGAUGAAUUGGGAGACUUGAUUCACCUGAGGUACUUGGGCUUGUUUAACUCAAAUCUAGAUGAGCUUCCAGGGACUUUAGGGAAUCUUAAAAGACUGCAAACUUUGGAUAUAAGGUGGUGUGGAGGACUACGCAAACUACCAAUACAAAUUCUGCAUAUCCAGCAGUUGAGACACCUUCUAAUGUCCGACAGCAUUAAUGAUUGUGAAAUUAGAGUUCCGAAGGGCAUUGGAGCAUUGGUAAAUCUUCACACU
RNAcentral lists this long non-coding RNA (24032 nucleotides) under Populus tremula. Its description in RNAcentral is "long non-coding RNA (PTRE_LNC000517)". Lineage: Eukaryota; Viridiplantae; Streptophyta; Magnoliopsida; Malpighiales; Salicaceae. The record is from RNAcentral.